AUUGAACGCUGGCGGAAUGCUUUACACAUGCAAGUCGAACGGCAGCGACGGGGGCAACCCUGGUGGCGAGUGGCGAACGGGUGAGUAAUACAUCGGAACGUGCCCAGUCGUGGGGGAUAACUACGCGAAAGCGUAGCUAAUACCGCAUACGAUCUACGGAUGAAAGCGGGGGAUCGCAAGACCUCGCGCGAUUGGAGCGGCCGAUGGCAGAUUAGGUAGUUGGUGAGGUAAAGGCUCACCAAGCCUUCGAUCUGUAGCUGGUCUGAGAGGACGACCAGCACACUGGACUGAGACACGGCCCAGACUCCUACGGGA
Molecule: ribosomal RNA, 315 nt
Filed under: uncultured bacterium
Lineage: Bacteria
Description: bacterial SSU rRNA
Rfam family: Bacterial small subunit ribosomal RNA
Source: RNAcentral